UCGAGAGGCUUCGGCAAUGGGGGAAACCCUGACCGAGCGACGCCGCGUGAGGGAUGAAGGCCCUUGGGUUGUAAACCUCUUUUGUUGGGGAAGAAAUGCGAUCAGGUGAACAAUCUGGUCGUUUGACGGUACCCGACGAAUAAGCUCCGGCUAACUCCGUGCCAGCAGCCGCGGUAACACGGGGGGAGCAAGCGUUGUUCGGAAUCACUGGGCGUAAAGGGCGUGUAGGCGGUUUGGUAAGUGAGAUGUGAAAUGCUCCGGCUCACCCGGGGACCUGCAUCUCAAACUGCUGGACUAGAGUAUGGGAGAGGAUGAGGGAAUUCCUGGUGUAGCGGUGAAAUGCGUAGAUAUCAGGAGGAACACCGGUGGCGAAAGCGCUCAUCUGGCCCAAUACUGACGCUGAGGCGCGAAAGCUAGGGGAGCAAACGG
This 429-nucleotide ribosomal RNA is filed under the name uncultured bacterium. Its description in RNAcentral is "bacterial SSU rRNA". It matches the Rfam family "Bacterial small subunit ribosomal RNA", at positions 355 to 775 of the family's 1533-position model. The record is from RNAcentral.